UACGUAGGUGGCAAGCGUUGUCCGGAUUUACUGGGCGUAAAGAGCGCGCAGGCGGUCGUUCAAGUCGAGUGUGAAAGCCCCCGGCUCAACUGGGGAGGGUCACGCGAUACUGAUCGACUCGAAGGCAGGAGAGGGUAGUGGAAUUCCCGGUGUAGUGGUGAAAUGCGUAGAUAUCGGGAGGAACACCAGUGGCGAAGGCGGUUGCCUGGAGCUUUGCUGACGCUGAGGCGCGAAAGCGUGGGGAGCGAUCCGG
This 253-nucleotide ribosomal RNA is filed under the name uncultured bacterium. Its description in RNAcentral is "partial 16S ribosomal RNA". It matches the Rfam family "Bacterial small subunit ribosomal RNA", at positions 524 to 776 of the family's 1533-position model. The record is from RNAcentral.